GGUUUAUGAGGAGUCGGAUUGUCUCAAUUCGAGCUACUCACUACAAGGGAAGUCGGUAAAGAUAGUAUAAUAAGAUAGCGUUUUGCAUGUGAAUGCUAUAAUUGAUACAAAAUUCAGUUUAAUAUAGUGUUUCAAAAUACCCAUGCUAUCUUUGUAUUUUCGGAUUCUAAAAACUUGGGUUUGGAUAGCAUAAGUAUCACCGAACGCUGUAUUUAAUUUAAGCGGAAUUGUUUUUUCAUUUCUCGGUUAAGACUUACCAAAAAAAAAUUUGGUCUCCCUCCCAAACUUUUCAGAUUCACUCUCAAAUUUUUAUCUCUUGUUUCAGAUCUUUUCUCUCUACAUCAUAUCAUCUUUCAGAGUUCCACGCGGCUAAGAUUAAACUCUUCAUCGUUCUAUUUCUCCUUCUCUCAAUACAAAACCCUAAUCUCAAUCUCACCCUCUCUCCUUCUCCGCGUC
This 456-nucleotide long non-coding RNA is filed under the name Brassica napus (rape). RNAcentral's name for it is "long non-coding RNA (BNAP_LNC021739)". Lineage: Eukaryota; Viridiplantae; Streptophyta; Magnoliopsida; Brassicales; Brassicaceae. The record is from RNAcentral.